GAUGAACGCUGGCGGCGUGCCUAAUACAUGCAAGUCGAGCGAACAGACGAGGAGCUUGCUCCUCUGACGUUAGCGGCGGACGGGUGAGUAACACGUGGAUAACCUACCUAUAAGACUGGGAUAACUUCGGGAAACCGGAGCUAAUACCGGAUAAUAUAUUGAACCGCAUGGUUCAAUAGUGAAAGACGGUCUUGCUGUCACUUAUAGAUGGAUCCGCGCCGCAUUAGCUAGUUGGUAAGGUAACGGCUUACCAAGGCGACGAUGCGUAGCCGACCUGAGAGGGUGAUCGGCCACACUGGAACUGAGACACGGUCCAGACUCCUACGGGAGGCAGCAGUAGGGAAUCUUCCGCAAUGGGCGAAAUCCUGACGGAGCAACGCCGCGUGAGUGAUGAAGGUCUUCGGAUCGUAAAACUCUGUUAUUAGGGAAGAACAAAUGUGUAAGUAACUAUGCACGUCUUGACGGUACCUAAUCAGAAAGCCACGGCUAACUACGUG
This 497-nucleotide ribosomal RNA is filed under the name uncultured bacterium. RNAcentral's name for it is "partial 16S ribosomal RNA". It matches the Rfam family "Bacterial small subunit ribosomal RNA", at positions 28 to 507 of the family's 1533-position model. The record is from RNAcentral.